This 220-nucleotide ribosomal RNA is filed under the name Mecomma ambulans. Its description in RNAcentral is "partial 16S ribosomal RNA". The stretch from base 1 to 149 matches the Rfam family "Bacterial large subunit ribosomal RNA", at positions 2494 to 2643 of the family's 2925-position model. Lineage: Eukaryota; Metazoa; Arthropoda; Insecta; Hemiptera; Miridae. The record is from RNAcentral.
GGGGAAGUCUAUCGAUAAAAUAGUUUGCGACCUCGAUGUUGGAUUAUAAUAAAAUAUAGGAGUAGAAUAUUAUAUUUUAGGUCUGUUCGACCUUUAAAUUUUUACAUGAUCUGAGUUCAGACCGGCGUGAGCCAGGUUGGUUUCUAUCCAUAAUUUUUUUUUAAAUUUUAGUACGAAAGGACCAGAUUUAUGAAACAUUUUUAUGAUUUUGAUUAAAAUU